This is a long non-coding RNA of Gadus macrocephalus (Pacific cod), 351 nucleotides long. RefSeq lists it as uncharacterized. The record is from RefSeq and is a predicted model, not a curated record. The transcript has 3 exons. NCBI's taxonomy places the organism in Eukaryota, Metazoa, Chordata, Actinopteri, Gadiformes, Gadidae.
GGUCCGACGCUUCUCACGCUAUUCACUGGGCGUUUAUGAGCACUCUUUGUUGGUGCAGCCGCAACUCAGGGGGUUCAGGCUGCUUUCAGCCUUGACAGUGUGUCUGGGAGAGGAGAGAGUGACUCUGAGGCCGCUGAACGGCAGACUGACAGACCGUGAAGUUGAAGUCUCCUCGUAAGGACCGUGACCUGGCCGGCCUCGCGGGGGAGACGGUGCAGGUGGCUCUCAGAAACCAAUUCUCUCCCUAAAGCUGAUACAUCACAUUGUAUAGCCUGCCUACAUCAACACUGAAGGGGACCGAGGAGCCGACGAUGCGUCAUGUAUCUCCCGAGCUGCACCUACAUAGUGUCC